UCCUUGUUCAACCAUCUCGACACCCGCACAACACCGUAACACCCUCCGAACCACUUUCACCCUCAUUGUUCGAUAGAAAGUUGCCGGAGAAACCUGGAAGUCGCCGGAACCGUACGGAGAUCGACGAAGCUCUUUUCUUUCGUUUCGUCAAAGAAGAUAAUACGACCACGUAAAAUCACCGGAGCUCGAAGACGACAUCACGAUGGAACUCGUAAACCAGCAGCAUCGGUUAUCCGUUUCGUUCAUUCGGUUCCCCAAUCGCUACUCGUGCGUUAUUACAAGAAAUCGCAACGCAACAAUGUGAGUAUACUCGAUCCCAUUUUCGUUUUAAACACUUUUGGGUGCAACAUGUAUUCUAUACAAAAACACGCCACGUUUGAAUCUUGUUUUUAUCACACUCUAUCCACAUUUAAACAUGAAACAGUUUGAUGCUUGUAAACUCAUAUGAUGCAAGUUGAACGUGUUAAUCGCAAUGCCCUUGAGUCUUGGGGGUAUUGCGAUGUUGAACGAUAUUUGAACGAUAUUUGAACGAUGUUGAACGAUAUUUGAACGAUAUUUGAACGAUAUUGAACGAUGUUGAACGAUAUUGAAUGGCAAAGUAGUAACUUGUAUCAUUGUAUUCAUGUUGGAUAUUGAGCAACUUCAAAACUUGUUUUAUUCUACUAUGCUAUGUAUCAAACUUGUAUACUCGCCAACUUUUGCUGAUUUUAUUUUAAUACAUGUUGCAGGUUGAUAUCAAGAUUCAAGAAAACAAGCUAGGAUGGCAUUAGAAACCCAUUUUAGCAAUUAAUUAAUGUUUGGAUUUAUGUUUGAAUAUUUGAGACUUUGUACUACUUUUCUAGUUUAAUAAAAUGAUUUUAUUCAUAUUGUCACAAUUAGUGUUAUGUUGUUUUGAGCAAUUUGUUCGUCUCAUCCCGAUGUUUCCGCCAUCGGUUGGGGUGUGACAGAUUGGUAUCAGAGCCAUAACUAUAGGUGUAACAUCCCGAAAUUUCAAAACUUUAUACUAGAAUUAUAAAAUGUAUAAUAAACAAGAAUAAACUAACUAGGAUAAAUAACCUAGUUAGUUAAGAGUCCUGUAGUAACACUUAAAUGAGUUAAAAGGCCAAGAAUAUAAACUAAAUAAGAGUGGAGGGACUAAAGUUGUUAAAAUAGAAACUUAAAUUACUAAAAUCGUAAAAAUCAACCAAACACCCCAUUCAAGAGGUGUCUGGUCGAUCAACAAGCAGGGGCGACAGGGGAUUUCUUCACCCAAACCCUAAUUUGCAAGAAAAUCACAAAUUGGAGCCUCAAAUCAGUUAGAAAUCGAAAUUCAAGCACUGAAUCGUGAUCACCUUGUCAAAGGGAUCCUAAGGUAUGUUGAAUUAGGUCAUUUUCGUUCGAUUCAAAGUUCAUGUAUGUGAUCAAAAUCGGAUGUAGAGCUUGAUUAUGUGUAGUAAACAUGAAAUUGGAAGUAAAGUAAGGUUUAGGGACAAACCCUAGAUGAUUUCUUGUUAAAAUCUUGCAUGUUAGUUGUAGGAAUCAAAAUCACUAUAGUGGGUGAUUAGUAAGUUAGUAGAACUUGAUAAACACUAGGACUAAGACUCUUGUUCUAGUGAAAACUGAAAUUGUGAGAUAAUCUCUGAAAUUGUUGAUGUUAAAAUAUGUGUAUAUUGUCUAAUUGAAGUUGAUUUGAGUGAUAAAUUCAAGUUAUGAACUUGGUAUAGAUCAUGUAAAAAUCUGACCCGCAAGGUGUUUGAUAAAACACCUAAAUGAGGAUUAAAAUGUUAAAGAUUGCUAAGAACGCAGAUUUACAUAUGUAAUGAAUGAAUGCGUUAAAGCUUAUGAAAAAGAGUUCUAAUCUUUUAUGAAUUGGACUCUUUAGGCAAGGAAUCCGGAACGUCAAGUGGACACGCCGGAGGUGAUACCCGCGGAAAAGGUGUGCUUUGAAGGUACGUGACUUUAGUCUCGUCGAAUUAAGUCUAAUUGCUUUGGUUUGAUAUGUAAUUGAUGUUGUAGUGUAAAGGAUGCGUUUGAUGUGUCGAUAAGUGACGAAGUGCACUCGACUAUCAAACGGGUCAAAAUAAGAACUCGGUAUUUAGUUGGGUCAGUCAAUGAAGUGAUGGUUUUCACUAAUUGGCAAAACGGGUCAAAAUGAUGUUUUCAAAAGAGUCACGAGAGUUGCGACUUGAAAGUCUCAUACCUUGUUAAAUGAUAAAUUGUACCAUACUAAUGAUUUGGUAAUGGCGAAUCUAAGUAUAAGAACCCGGGAUAUGGGUCGAACAAUAAUGUUAAAGGAAAAAGGAUUGUUUGAAACGGAAUGCUUGAAUUCCGAAUAAUCAAGUAAUAGCCAUAGAGGAAUUUCAAAGCCAUGGAAUUGGCGUGAAAACACCAAGUAUGUGAGCCCGGGUAAUUGGGUAAAUAUGUUAAAAGGGUUUAAGAAUGAAAAGAGGUGCUAUGCACUCAUACUAAUGGGUCGAAUAAUGGAAAUAAGGAAAUUCGUGAACCAAUUUGUGGUAUCUCGGUUUCCGCAAUGUAAAAUUUACAUGGUUAAGUCCGAAGUUUUAUUACGGACUCAUAGCAAGAAGAAUUGGUUGAAUCGGAUCAAUGAGUAAAGAGUUAUGAGCUUCUAAAGUUGAAAAAUAGCCAAAGUGCAAAUGUGCAGAACCCACCGUAAAUUACGGUUCCACCGUAAUUUACGGUGGACAACAAUGUGUUACGGUGUUUUGCUACUGUUUUAUGGCAGAACCAUAACAUUUCCAGGUCCACCGUAAUUUACGGUGAUACCGUAAUUUACGGUGGAACCCAGUAAAAAUUUAUAUUUUAUAGUCACUUGUGUUGUUAAAACCUGUUUAUACAUUAUAUAUUAAAGUCAAAACUAACGGUUUUUAGUGUUUGACUCUAGGUAUGAAUGAAUCUCUCCCGGAUGAUGAUCAAGCACUUUGUCAAGAACCGAACAUGCAAUUUGAAGCUUCCGCACUGAAUAUAAUCUUGUCUAAACUUUAAAUAUGUCAUAAAGAUUUUUUGUUAAUGGUGUUUUGAAUCCUUUAAACUAGUUGUUAGUUGACUAGUAGGGGUUGCCUUUAAAUGAAUUAUGCAUUAUCUUGAACAUGCUUGGAAAAAUUCUACUAGUGUGUAUGGUUUAAAACACGAAAUGCUUUUGUAAACUCUGAUUUUUAUAAAGUUUCAUGAAAUAUUUAGUUAAAUUAUGUUAAAUUAUUAAGGGUGUUACAAGUUGGUAUCAGAGCUUAAGGUUGUCAACAAAAGUGUUCGGUUCAAGCUUGAUCGAUCGUCCGGUAAGAGUUAACUUAUUAUGUUAACAAAUUAUGUUCUAUAUGUGAAUAAGAAAGAAAUUAAAGGGCAUGGGAAGAGUGUGUUAACACACUCAAACCCGGGAAGUGCACCAAAUUUAAACGGUUAAAGCAAGUUGAGAACUUGACUAAACCAAAACAAAAGAAGCUAUGUUAUAAACGAAAUGUUUAACGUUUAAAUGUAAACAUUUCAGUUUCAAAGAUGACGGAUAAGGGAAAUGACGAAGCGGUGCCAAGAGUCACCGAACAAAUGAGAGAAGUGAUUGCUGAAGAGGUAGGAAAAGCAAUCGAGAAUAGUUUGUCGGGUUUCAUCGAUAAAAUCCAAACCACGGUGUUAUCAGUGGUGGAUGAAAGGAUAAAGAAACUGGAGGAUAAUGCAAAUUUAGCCAAGGAGAAAUUGGUAGAGCGUAAGGGCUGCUCGUACAAAGAAUUUAUGGCAUGCAAACCACCACUCUACAACGGAGAAGUGGAUCCGAUAGUGUGCCAAAGGUGGUUAAGUGAUAUAGAAGGGGUAUUUGAGAGAACCCACUGUGACGCGAAUGACUUCGUGGCGUAUGGCACGGGUCAACUGAGAGGUCAAGCAAAAGACUGGUGG
This 3882-nucleotide long non-coding RNA is filed under the name Helianthus annuus (common sunflower). RNAcentral's name for it is "hypothetical non coding rna". The record is from RNAcentral. Lineage: Eukaryota; Viridiplantae; Streptophyta; Magnoliopsida; Asterales; Asteraceae.